GAUCAUGGCUCAGGAUGAACGCUAGCUACAGGCUUAACACAUGCAAGUCGAGGGGAAACGACAUCGAAAGCUUGCUUUUGAUGGGCGUCGACCGGCGCACGGGUGAGUAACGCGUAUCCAACCUGCCGUCUACUCUUGGACAGCCUUCUGAAAGGAAGAUUAAUACAAGAUGGUAUGAUGGGAUUGCAUGAUAGCAUCAUUAAAGAUUUAUCGGUGUACGAUGGGGA
RNAcentral lists this ribosomal RNA (227 nucleotides) under uncultured bacterium. Its description in RNAcentral is "partial 16S ribosomal RNA". It matches the Rfam family "Bacterial small subunit ribosomal RNA", at positions 15 to 231 of the family's 1533-position model. The record is from RNAcentral.